Molecule: ribosomal RNA, 303 nt
Filed under: Salmonella enterica subsp. enterica serovar Derby
Lineage: Bacteria; Pseudomonadati; Pseudomonadota; Gammaproteobacteria; Enterobacterales; Enterobacteriaceae
Also listed under: 1 other name
Description: bacterial SSU rRNA
Rfam family: Bacterial small subunit ribosomal RNA
Source: RNAcentral
UCCAGGUGUAGCGGUGAAAUGCGUAGAGAUCUGGAGGAAUACCGGUGGCGAAGGCGGCCCCCUGGACAAAGACUGACGCUCAGGUGCGAAAGCGUGGGGAGCAAACAGGAUUAGAUACCCUGGUAGUCCACGCCGUAAACGAUGUCUACUUGGAGGUUGUGCCCUUGAGGCGUGGCUUCCGGAGCUAACGCGUUAAGUAGACCGCCUGGGGAGUACGGCCGCAAGGUUAAAACUCAAAUGAAUUGACGGGGGCCCGCACAAGCGGUGGAGCAUGUGGUUUAAUUCGAUGCAACGCGAAGAACC